AAGCCUAUACUUUCAGGGAUCAUUUCUAUAGUACGUGACUAGAGAAGUUUCUCUGAUCGUGAGCACCAGAAGCCACGAGGAGGAGCCAGAGCGUCCUCUCAUGAGCGUGAAGUCGGCUCCAGGUGUCGCUUCUGUGACUGUCUUUGGCCAUUGAUGAUCCUUCUCCCUUUCAUCUGGAAAGGGUAGAGGGAGAAGAUGCAGUCUGAGUGGU
Suncus etruscus (white-toothed pygmy shrew) is the source of this 211-nucleotide small nucleolar RNA. RefSeq annotates it as small nucleolar RNA U3. NCBI's taxonomy places the organism in Eukaryota, Metazoa, Chordata, Mammalia, Eulipotyphla, Soricidae. The transcript has a single exon. The record is from RefSeq and is a predicted model, not a curated record.